GUUAAGCGACUAAGCGUACACGGUGGAUGCCCUGGCAGUCAGAGGCGAUGAAGGACGUGCUAAUCUGCGAAAAGCGUCGGUAAGGUGAUAUGAACCGUUACAGCCGGCGAUGUCCGAAUGGGGAAACCCAGUGCAAUUCGUUGCACUAUCGUUAACUGAAUACAUAGGUUAACGAGGCGAACCGGGGGAACUGAAACAUCUAAGUACCCCGAGGAAAAGAAAUCAACCGAGAUUCCCCCAGUAGCGGCGAGCGAACGGGGAGCAGCCCAGAGUCUGAAUCAGCUUGUGUGUUAGUGGAACGGUCUGGAAAGUCCGACGGUACAGGGUGAUAGUCCCGUACACCAAAAUGCACAGGUUGUGAACUCGAAGAGUAGGGCGGGACACGUGGUAUCCUGUCUGAAUAUGGGGGGACCAUCCUCCAAGGCUAAAUACUCCUGACUGACCGAUAGUGAACCAGUACCGUGAGGGAAAGGCGAAAAGAACCCCGGCGAGGGGAGUGAAAAAGAACCUGAAACCGUGUACGUACAAGCAGUGGGAGCACCUUCGGGUGUGACUGCGUACCUUUUGUAUAAUGGGUCAGCGACUUAUAUUCUGUAGCAAGGUUAACCGUAUAGGGGAGCCGCAGGGAAACCGAGUCUUAACUGGGCGUUAAGUUGCAGGGUAUAGACCCGAAACCCGGUGAUCUAGCCAUGGGCAGGUUGAAGGUUGGGUAACACUAACUGGAGGACCGAACCGACUAAUGUUGAAAAAUUAGCGGAUGACUUGUGGCUGGGGGUGAAAGGCCAAUCAAACCGGGAGAUAGCUGGUUCUCCCCGAAAGCUAUUUAGGUAGCGCCUCGUGAAUUCAUCUUCGGGGGUAGAGCACUGUUUCGGCUAGGGGGUCAUCCCGACUUACCAACCCGAUGCAAACUACGAAUACCGAAGAAUGUUAUCACGGGAGACACACGGCGGGUGCUAACGUCCGUCGUGAAGAGGGAAACAACCCAGACCGCCAGCUAAGGUCCCAAAGUCACAGUUAAGUGGGAAACGAUGUGGGAAGGCACAGACAGCCAGGAUGUUGGCUUAGAAGCAGCCAUCAUUUAAAGAAAGCGUAAUAGCUCACUGGUCGAGUCGGCCUGCGCGGAAGAUGUAACGGGGCUAAACUGUGCACCGAAGCUGCGGCAGCGACACUUAGGUGUUGUUGGGUAGGGGAGCGUUCUGUAAGCCUGCGAAGGUGGCCUGUGAGGGUUGCUGGAGGUAUCAGAAGUGCGAAUGCUGACAUAAGUAACGAUAAUGCGGGUGAAAAGCCCGCACGCCGGAAGACCAAGGGUUCCUGUCCAACGUUAAUCGGGGCAGGGUGAGUCGACCCCUAAGGCGAGGCCGAAAGGCGUAGUCGAUGGGAAACAGGUUAAUAUUCCUGUACUUGGUGUUACUGCGAAGGGGGGACGGAGAAGGCUAUGUUAGCCGGGCGACGGUUGUCCCGGUUUAAGCAUGUAGGCGGAGGUUCCAGGUAAAUCCGGUACCUUUUUAACGCUGAGGUGUGAUGACGAGGCACUACGGUGCUGAAGUAACAAAUGCCCUGCUUCCAGGAAAAGCCUCUAAGCAUCAGGUAACAUUGAAUCGUACCCCAAACCGACACAGGUGGUCAGGUAGAGAAUACCAAGGCGCUUGAGAGAACUCGGGUGAAGGAACUAGGCAAAAUGGUGCCGUAACUUCGGGAGAAGGCACGCUGAUAUGUAGGUGAAGCCCCUGCGGGUGGAGCUGAAAUCAGUCGAAGAUACCAGCUGGCUGCAACUGUUUAUUAAAAACACAGCACUGUGCAAACACGAAAGUGGACGUAUACGGUGUGACGCCUGCCCGGUGCCGGAAGGUUAAUUGAUGGGGUUAUCCGUAAGGAGAAGCUCUUGAUCGAAGCCCCGGUAAACGGCGGCCGUAACUAUAACGGUCCUAAGGUAGCGAAAUUCCUUGUCGGGUAAGUUCCGACCUGCACGAAUGGCGUAAUGAUGGCCAGGCUGUCUCCACCCGAGACUCAGUGAAAUUGAACUCGCUGUGAAGAUGCAGUGUACCCGCGGCAAGACGGAAAGACCCCGUGAACCUUUACUAUAGCUUGACACUGAACAUUGAGCCUUGAUGUGUAGGAUAGGUGGGAGGCUUUGAAGCGUGGACGCCAGUCUGCGUGGAGCCAACCUUGAAAUACCACCCUUUAAUGUUUGAUGUUCUAACGUUGGCCCCUUAUCGGGGUUGCGGACAGUGUCUGGUGGGUAGUUUGACUGGGGCGGUCUCCUCCCAAAGAGUAACGGAGGAGCACGAAGGUUAGCUAAUCCUGGUCGGACAUCAGGAGGUUAGUGCAAUGGCAUAAGCUAGCUUGACUGCGAGCGUGACGGCGCGAGCAGGUGCGAAAGCAGGUCAUAGUGAUCCGGUGGUUCUGAAUGGAAGGGCCAUCGCUCAACGGAUAAAAGGUACUCCGGGGAUAACAGGCUGAUACCGCCCAAGAGUUCAUAUCGACGGCGGUGUUUGGCACCUCGAUGUCGGCUCAUCACAUCCUGGGGCUGAAGUAGGUCCCAAGGGUAUGGCUGUUCGCCAUUUAAAGUGGUACGCGAGCUGGGUUUAGAACGUCGUGAGACAGUUCGGUCCCUAUCUGCCGUGGGCGCUGGAGAAUUGAGGGGGGCUGCUCCUAGUACGAGAGGACCGGAGUGGACGCAUCACUGGUGUUCGGGUUGUCAUGCCAAUGGCAUUGCCCGGUAGCUAAAUGCGGAAGAGAUAAGUGCUGAAAGCAUCUAAGCACGAAACUUGCCCCGAGAUGAGUUCUCCCUGAGACUUUAAGUCUCCUGAAGGAACGUUAAAGACGAUGACGUUGAUAGGUCGGGUGUGUAAGCGUAGCGAUACGUUGAGCUAACCGAUACUAAUGAACCGUGAGGCUUAACC
This 2903-nucleotide ribosomal RNA is filed under the name Klebsiella aerogenes. RNAcentral's name for it is "Bacterial large subunit ribosomal RNA". It matches the Rfam family "Bacterial large subunit ribosomal RNA". Lineage: Bacteria; Pseudomonadati; Pseudomonadota; Gammaproteobacteria; Enterobacterales; Enterobacteriaceae. The record is from RNAcentral.